This 70-nucleotide transfer RNA is filed under the name Dipodomys ordii (Ord's kangaroo rat). It matches the Rfam family "tRNA". Rfam says of the family: Transfer RNA (tRNA) molecules are approximately 80 nucleotides in length. Their secondary structure includes four short double-helical elements and three loops (D, anti-codon, and T loops). Further hydrogen bonds mediate the characteristic L-shaped molecular structure. tRNAs have two regions of fundamental functional importance: the anti-codon, which is responsible for specific mRNA codon recognition, and the 3' end, to which the tRNAs corresponding amino acid is attached (by aminoacyl-tRNA synthetases). tRNAs cope with the degeneracy of the genetic code in two manners: having more than one tRNA (with a specific anti-codon) for a particular amino acid; and 'wobble' base-pairing, i.e. permitting non-standard base-pairing at the 3rd anti-codon position. The record is from Rfam by way of RNAcentral. Lineage: Eukaryota; Metazoa; Chordata; Mammalia; Rodentia; Heteromyidae.
GGGAAUGUGGCUUAGUGGUAGAGUGCUUGCUUUGCAUGCAUGAAGUCCUAGGUUUGAUUCCUCAGUACCA